Molecule: ribosomal RNA, 696 nt
Filed under: Alloalcanivorax marinus
Lineage: Bacteria; Pseudomonadati; Pseudomonadota; Gammaproteobacteria; Oceanospirillales; Alcanivoracaceae
Description: bacterial SSU rRNA
Rfam family: Bacterial small subunit ribosomal RNA
Source: RNAcentral
UGCACUCCAGGCGUCGAGCGGCGGACGGGUGAGUAACGCGUGAGAAUCUGCCCAUUAGUGGGGGAUAACCCGGGGAAACUCGGGCUAAUACCGCAUACGUCCUACGGGACAAAGCAGGGGACCUUUUGGCCUUGCGCUGAUGGAUGAGCUCGCGUCGGAUUAGCUUGUUGGUGAGGUAAAGGCUCACCAAGGCGACGAUCCGUAGCUGGUCUGAGAGGAUGAUCAGCCACACCGGGACUGAGACACGGCCCGGACUCCUACGGGAGGCAGCAGUGGGGAAUCUUGGACAAUGGGGGCAACCCUGAUCCAGCCAUGCCGCGUGUGUGAAGAAGGCCUUCGGGUUGUAAAGCACUUUCAGCAGGGAGGAAGGCUUUGGGUUAAUACCCUGGAGUACUUGACGUUACCUGCAGAAGAAGCACCGGCUAAUUUCGUGCCAGCAGCCGCGGUAAUACGAAAGGUGCAAGCGUUAAUCGGAAUUACUGGGCGUAAAGCGCGCGUAGGCGGUGUGUUAAGUCGGAUGUGAAAGCCCAGGGCUCAACCUUGGAAUUGCAUCCGAUACUGGCACGCUAGAGUGCAGUAGAGGGAGGUGGAAUUUCCGGUGUAGCGGUGAAAUGCGUAGAGAUCGGAAGGAACACCAGUGGCGAUGGCGGCCUCCUGGACUGACACUGACGCUGAGGUGCGAAAGCGUGGGGGAGC